This 1220-nucleotide long non-coding RNA is filed under the name Heterocephalus glaber (naked mole-rat). RNAcentral's name for it is "lncRNA (ENSHGLG00100048143.1)". The record is from RNAcentral. Lineage: Eukaryota; Metazoa; Chordata; Mammalia; Rodentia; Bathyergidae.
GUAAGCACAAAGCCUUAAGGGCGCCGUUUGCCCCAAGUCAAGGUGCCCACGCUUUCUUGCUCAGGUGCACUCCAGGCACCAGGGAAUCUUAGGGCCGGGUCUGGAAGGAUGACAUCACUAGUUGACAUUUUCUCCUACUUUUUUCUGACCACUGUGCUAUAUCAGGGUUUCAAGUGCUUAGAAAAACUAAUUGUAGCACCGAUUUGCAUCUCGUUUGCUGUCUGUGAAGAACGCCAGUGUGAGGUGAGGUAAUCUAUAUAGUGUAGUAGGUAGUAUCCCAAUUUUUCGAAUGAACCUCCUGGAAUUUUAAGAGGCUAAACAUGGCUCAAGUAAUUAAGUUAUAGAGUUUAAUGGAAUUGAUAUUUUCUGACUCCACUCAGCCCACAUAGAAAGCAGAAUAUUACAUUCCUUCCUCCUCUAGUUGAUAACUGAGAUGGAGAAAUGUCAUUUUGGAAGACCUCUGUGAAAACUGAUGCGCCAUGAAGGCAUUAUAGAGGACUCUAAAGAUUCACACAAGACUCUACAGUGAGCUGUAGACCUUCGACUAGAUCUUUCAGCUAUUCAACGCACAGACAGCCCUUUGCACCCAUCCACACCUGGCCCUGAAGGUGGCCAUUCACCCUGCCUUGGAGCAGCUGCCUAUAGACUGAAACUUCUGCAAACUGUGAGCUAAAAUAAACUUUUCUCCUUUAACUUGUGGAUAUCAGGUAUUUUGUCCCAGCAAUGAAAAAGCAACUAAGACGCUGCCAAACUGUUUUCCAGAGUAUAUAAAACCAUUUUAUAUUCUCAUCAGCAAUGACUGAUAUAGUUUCUUCAUAUCCUCACCAGCUUUUUAUGUUUUCACUAUUUUUAAUUUUAGCCAUUCUGAUAGUUGUGUAAUAAUAGCUCAUGGCUGUUUUAAUUUGCAUUUCUCUAAUUUUUAACAUCUUUUCAUGGGAUCAGUUGCUGUCACUAUAUCCUCUUUAGUGCAGUACCUGUUCACAUAUUUGGCCUAUUUUCUAGUUGUAUUAUUUGGUUUUAUGCUAUUGAGAUUCUUUUUCUUUUUCAGUGCUGGAGGUUGAACCCAGAGCCUUGCACAUGCUAGAUAAAGCACUCUAUCACUGAGGCAUAUCCCUAGCCCUAUCAUUCUUUAUAAAUUCUUGCUACCAGUCCUGUAUCAAAUAUGUGGUUUGAAAAUAUUUUCUCCAGAUCGCUACAUUGUUUUCUAAUUUUCAUAACAG